GUGGGGAAUAUUGCACAAUGGGGGAAACCCUGAUGCAGCGACGCCGCGUGAACGAUGAAGUAUUUCGGUAUGUAAAGUUCUAUCAGCAGGGAAGAUAAUGACGGUACCUGACUAAGAAGCACCGGCUAAAUACGUGCCAGCAGCCGCGGUAAUACGUAUGGUGCAAGCGUUAUCCGGAUUUACUGGGUGUAAAGGGUGCGUAGGUGGCAUGGCAAGUCUGAAGUGAAAUGCGGGGGCUCAACCCCUGAACUGCUUUGGAAACUGUCAGGCUAGAGUGCAGGAGAGGAAAGCGGAAUUCCUAGUGUAGCGGUGAAAUGCGUAGAUAUUAGGAGGAACACCAGUGGCGAAGGCGGCUUUCUGGACUGUAACUGACACUGAGGCACGAAAGCGUGGGGAGCAAACAGGAUUAGAAACCCUUGUAGUCC
This 425-nucleotide ribosomal RNA is filed under the name uncultured bacterium. RNAcentral describes it as "bacterial SSU rRNA". It matches the Rfam family "Bacterial small subunit ribosomal RNA", at positions 354 to 796 of the family's 1533-position model. The record is from RNAcentral.